This 253-nucleotide ribosomal RNA is filed under the name uncultured bacterium. RNAcentral's name for it is "partial 16S ribosomal RNA". It matches the Rfam family "Bacterial small subunit ribosomal RNA", at positions 524 to 776 of the family's 1533-position model. The record is from RNAcentral.
UACGUAGGGGGCUAGCGUUGUCCGGAUUCAUUGGGCGUAAAGGGUUCGUAGGCGGCGGGGCAAGUCAGGUGUGAAAUCUCGGGGCUCAACCCCGAAACUGCACUUGAUACUGCCUUGCUCGAGUACUGGAGAGGAGACUGGAAUUUACGGUGUAGCAGUGAAAUGCGUAGAUAUCGUAAGGAAGACCAGUGGCGAAGGCGAGUCUCUGGACAGUUACUGACGCUGAGGCACGAAGGCCAGGGGAGCAAACGGG